UUCCACGAUCAGUCUUUGGAUGUGCCACUUGUCCCAUCUGCCGUCGUCGACAAGCAGUCACCAGGGAAGCUCUUUUGCAUUUUACCAGCUGAAGCCAUUACAGACAACGUAAGAGGAGCACCAUCCUUAUCGGAUUCUAUCUGCACCUCUCCACCUGUCCGUGUCUCUUCAGGCUACCUGUGAUUCUUUCAUGUAAGGUCUCUGGCCUCAUCCUUAAAGUGACUUGUUGUCUCUCACUGUCUUGCGGUCCUAGGGGUGUAUAGUACUGAGUGCCAUUACCAGGUACCACACAGCUCGUAAUCCACCUGUCUGGAAACUUACUGUCUAUCAGGUUCCUGCAACGCUGGUCCUCCAAGUGUUACACUAUAUGUAUUUGUGUCUAGGUGUUUGUGUUAGUGGCUUGGUCUGUGUUACUGUGAGUGUUUGUGUGUGUUAUGUAACUGCCCCUUUCUGCAAUCAGUCUCUGGAUGGACCAUUCUUCCCGUUUGCCGUCUCCGACAAACAUUCUUCGGAGAAGCUCUUUUCCAUUUUACGAUCUCAAGCCUUUACAGACAACGUAAGAGGAGAACCCUCCUUAUCGGAUUCUAUCUGCACCUCUCCAUGUCUCUUCAGGCUAUCUGUGAUUCUUUCAUGUAAGGUCUCUGGCCUCAUCCUUUAAGUGACUUGUCGUCUUUGAC
This is a long non-coding RNA of Spea bombifrons (plains spadefoot toad), 677 nucleotides long. RefSeq lists it as uncharacterized. The record is from RefSeq and is a predicted model, not a curated record. The transcript has 3 exons. Lineage: Eukaryota; Metazoa; Chordata; Amphibia; Anura; Pelobatidae.